This 274-nucleotide ribosomal RNA is filed under the name uncultured bacterium. Its description in RNAcentral is "partial 16S ribosomal RNA". It matches the Rfam family "Bacterial small subunit ribosomal RNA", at positions 523 to 796 of the family's 1533-position model. The record is from RNAcentral.
AUACAGAGGGUGCAAGCGUUAAUCGGAAUUACUGGGCGUAAAGCGCGCGUAGGCGGUUUGUUAAGUCGGAUGUGAAAUCCCCGGGCUCAACCUGGGAACUGCAUUCGAAACUGGCGAGCUAGAGUAUGGUAGAGGAUAGUGGAAUUCCGGGUGUAGCGGUGAAAUGCGUAGAUAUCCGGAGGAACAUCAGUGGCGAAGGCGGCUAUCUGGACCAAUACUGACGCUGAGGUGCGAAAGCGUGGGGAGCAAACAGGAUUAGAUACCCUAGUAGUCC